This 5445-nucleotide long non-coding RNA is filed under the name Homo sapiens (human). RNAcentral describes it as "HSALNT0110378". Lineage: Eukaryota; Metazoa; Chordata; Mammalia; Primates; Hominidae. The record is from RNAcentral.
UGGAUGCGAUUAAUACCUUAAAAAAUAGUUUUCCGGAGUGAGCACUCUCUCUUGGCUCUUCUGAUCUUCUGCCAUGUGAGGAACCUUGUUCCUCUUUUCUGGGAAAUACAGCAUUUAAAUGUGCCAUCUUGGGAGUGGAGACUGGGCCUAUGUUAGACACCAAGCCUGCCAGAAAUUUGAUCUGGGACUUCUCAGCCUUCAGAACUAUGAAGACACAGAGGUGCAAAGAGGCUAAAAUAACUUGCCAAGGACCUAGAGUUACAAUUUUGCAAGUAUAAUGAAAUGCUGUACACAUAAUGGACUAGACCCUGCUGUGUCCAAGGCUAUGCUAUGGAUAUGAAGCCCAACUAAAACAAUCUGCCUCAGCUGGGGUGUGUGAGGUAUCAAUAACCCUUGGCAGAGGUGUCAAGAGCCUUGCUGGAACUCAACUACCCUGCUGACCAGAUGCUUAGCAAGUUAACAAGACUCUGAGCAUUCACCACUUUUUCUAACACAACAAUUAACACAACUGGAAAAUCACUGCACUGAUUAUCUGAAGAAAAAAAAUCUCACCAAAGUUGCCUUUUAUGGAACAGAGGCAAAUAAUAAAUACUGGACCACACUGGGAAGAGAAUUUUGAAGUUUUAAGCUGGGCAGGUGCUAUGGCUCAAUAAACAAGAUGAGAGAAACUGAAAAGUAAAAAUCUUAUCAAAAGUAUUUUCUCAGUAUACUCAUAUACAUUUCUGAGUACAUUAAAACUAUUUCAAUCUUACCCUUACAAAUAUGAUGUUUUAUCUUUGGAAAUAACUGAGGCUAACACAUUUUCUCAUAAGAGAUCAAGACUAAAACUUGGUUUAAGAAUAGAAUCUAAAGAGCUAAAGUUUUACUAAAGUGGAUAAUAUUAGUCAGCAUCUAUAUAUAUAAGAGCAUAUUCAGAAGUUACUCAUUGAACAACAUUUAGAUAGCUAUAAAACCUGGAUAAAGCAAUCAAGUUACUUGAUUUUUUAAAACUAAUCUUUAAAAGAGUGUAUACGAAAUUGUUUUUUUUUUAACCUAAAUAUAUAUUUUGUUUUUCAAGUUAUAUCACCUUAAGGUCAUUCCCUUUCCUCUCAUUCAUAAUUCUAUUAGAUUGCAAUUAUAUACUUUUUCUGGAAAAAUAAAUAACUUACAUACUAUUCCUAGAAAAAUAUACGGUAUGCAGGAAAAUGUGAAUAUUAGCAUUAAACAAUUUAAUGUUGUCUUUGCUUUGAAAUUCAAUAAUGCCAUCAGCCUGUAAGACCUCUUAGAGCCUAGCAUUUCACACAGUGAAAGCUGCUUUCUGUUACAAAAGCACAGCAGCUGUGACUCCCGCAGAUACCCUUAAAGACAGAUAUAAUAAAACACUGGGAGGGAGUAGGUCGACACAGGAGCAUGAAAUGGACGAGAUGAAGCCCCUUUGUCACAGCCAAACAGGCUAUAAAGUUACUAUAGUAACAUACAGUAUUAAACUCCAGGUGGAUUGACUUAAUCUUCCUCAAACAAAAAAUAAAGGUUAACAAAAACCAAACCAAUAAUGAUUACAAUCACUCUACCCAAAUAUUUUUCAAGAAGUUCUUAUUUUUUGGUUUACUCUGGAUAGGUGAAGAACAGGGUACACUGGCUCAUGUUCUGAUUUGAAGAAACAACCCCAGAAGUUCAGGGUGUGGCUAAAGAAAUGCCUUUUUAAAAUAUUUGAAUACAUCCAAUGACUUGAGUUGCAAGAAAAUCAAAGUGAUGAGAGAACAAUUAGACUAUAUGGAUUCUCAAACCUAAUAUUUUUUCUAUGUUCAUCACAUUAUUGUCAAGUGGAGACAAUUUAAGUGAUAAUGCCUCUGGAUCCAGUCCUAAAUUCAUGGAAAAUUCAGCAGCCUUUUCUGAACUUUGGUUGAAGAGUUUCAGGCCCCAUCUGUUUUAAUCUACGUUUUCAGGAAGAGAAUAAUGACUUAUGACAUAAGGAACCCCAAAGAGCUCAGUAAACCAUCCAGGAUGAAAUCCACAACAAUCUGUAAGUCCAGCAGCCUCCCCACAAACCCUGCAGGGUACCUGAGGAUGCCCCAGACUCUCCUGGCAUCCUCAAUGACUUGAUUUUGAUCUCACUGAGCAUUCAUUCCAUCAGAAUAACAGAGCCACCCUCCUCAGAUUCUGUAUCUGGAUAAGAAAGAAGAAGAAUCAGAAACAACCAACCAAAGCCAUUAAGACAAUUUAUAUAAAGAACAACUGUUUUAAUGACCCUGCAGAUUGUACCCCAAGUUCCCUGUCUUCAAAGGAAUGAUAUGAGCUGGAAGUUCUAGUCUGCUAAUGAGCAAAAACCAUCUUUAUGUAAACAUAUCUAUGCUUUGUACCAUGGAUACCUUAUGAGCACACAGCAAAGAGUGGUUAAAUAUGCUUUAUUUCUGUAUUAAUAACAUUUAGUAAGGUCAGUAAUAAUCACUUACCUUAACAUUUUCAAGAGACAAAAGCUUCUCCAAAAGCUGUUGCUAUUGUCUAACUGUAUCCACAUCAGAAAUAAAGCUCGGGAAUCUCAUAAUGAUGGAAGCUGCAAUUAUUGUCAUUUUAAUUUUCUUUUUUAUUUCCAAAAAAUAGACAUGGGUUUUACAAUGAUUUUUGCACAAAAUAUGAAGCAAAAUUCAUUUAGUGAACAAAUUGUUCUCUAGAUACUUCUAAAAGCAGAAUUAACAUUAUCUUUUGUAAAAAUAUCAUAAUGUCCAUAGCUCUGUUUAAAUGGAGAUACCCUAUCGUCAAAAACUUUUUAAGGAAAUUCUGUUAACUAACUGAUGACUUCUAUUGAUGGACCAUUCCAAUUUUCAAUCUUCUCUAAAAAUAUGAAGCUUUUAAAGUGGGUGUAAGACAUUUAAACAACCACCACAUUCAAGAGAGAACACUGUUUUUCCUCUUUGUUAUGGAAUACAGCCUCUACGUCACAGUUAACCUUUUAGAUAAUGGUCACUAAAUAGUGAACAUUAGUUUUUAAAUCCCUCAAAAUACGUGAAGAUAGUAGGAUAAUAAUUUCUGAAUGAAAUCUGAAGUCCCAAUUGCUUAUCUAUGUUUGCAUUAUAUAAAAUCAAUUAUCCUUAAUAUUGCAUGUAAUUUAUAAUACAUUAAUAGCUUAUUAGAAUGUGAGCCCCAUGGGGACAGUGCCUGUAUCUGUUUAUUCAUUCCUCCAUUUCAGUGAUCACAAUAGUGCCUGGCACAUAAUAGAUACUCAGUGUUUACUGAAUAAACAAAUGAUGAAAUUACUACAUUUGACAUAAUUUUCUGUAGCUGUCUAAAUAUAUGGAAAGGAAUAGAUAUUUUAUUUCACAUUUCAGCUCAGUUAAAUAAAUUGAAAUAUACUUCGGGAAACAGGUUUAAAUGAUUCCUCCUUGAUGAAUGUAGAACUUACAGAAAGCAUAUACAAAGUGUGUAAUUUUCUUUUUUUGUUUAUAAAUUAAUGCUCUCUCUUUGUAUAUAUAUCACUUGGCCAUUGUUAAAUGACAAUUGAGAGAUAAAACCAUUAAGAAAAAGAUUGCAUACUUGUUUACACAAGCAAACUAUUUAUAAGGGAGUCUUGAAAAACUGUCUCUCUGAACACGGUUUGAAGCAGGUAUGUAAAGGAAAAUAAACACUCACAAUACAGGGUUUCCAAAGUUGUAUUCCGCCUGUCAGCAAUAGGGAAAAAAACAGUUGUUUUCUCUAAUGAUUAUCAUAUUUGCAUGAGUCUGUACCUAACUGUAGGUAUCAGUACUGCAGAGUCAUGAUUCACUUUUCCUAGGAAGUUGGCAACUUCAGGGAAAGCACUAAAGCCUUCAUUGAUUUGGGGACUGGUGGGUUCUUGUUCAGUUUGUUUUAGUUCAUCCAUUAAUGAAAUGGUUUUUGUUUGUAUGUGUGUUUUGUUUUCAUUUCUGACUGUGGUAUAAUGUGCCUAGUCAUCAUGGAGGCAGGGCAAGAUGUGAAUUUUGCUUUUCAACUAGAAUUUCGUGACCAGAAAAUGAAUUAUUCAAAAUGUAUUUAUUUCAGGCCUCAUGUAAGUCUAUCUGUUCACCAUACUCUGAAUGUUUUACUCAGCCUGCCUCAGACAUGCUGCUUUGUGCAAAAAAGAAUAAACUGGGUGCUUUAGAUCUGUUCCCUAGCAAUCGCUUAGGACUCUUCUGGAAGAGACUACUGGAAACGCCAUGCCCACCCUGCCCACCCCUUCCCCAACUCCACCUCAGUGCCAAACAGCUCUCAGUCCUGCUUCUGGAAUCUCAAAUCUGCCCUCCAGGGGUUUGCUCCCCGGAGCAAGUGCAUUAACCUCUCUGAACCUCUGUUUCCUCAUUUAUGAGACUAUGAUUUAAAACUUAUUUACAGGAUUUUUGUGAGAAUUCCAUAUAAUUGAUAUAAACAAGUUAUGACUGUAACCUCCCCACAAAAGUUAUUCAGUUAAUACAUAUUCUCUGCAUGUUUAUUUUCCUAUUUUUAGCCUGUUCUUCUCUUUUUACUUGUCAUUUAGACAUGAUUUAUAGAUUGUAAAAUGCUUAUUUUUCCCAAAACACUUGAGCCCACAUUCACUUUUUAACUCUUGCUUGUCAUUGCCUUGGGGGAACACUUCUCUUGAAUCCAAGUCCCAAGACCAGGCCAUCUUCUGGUUGUUGCUGCUCUCUAGACCCCUAGAGAGGCAAUUCUGAUCUGACAUAUUGUGGCUUUAAUGACUGAGACAGUCUCUUUUAGCUAUGAUUUCAAAUUUUGUCUCUGAUAUUGCCUAUCUCUUCCCUGGUUUCCUCAUCUGUAGAAUGUGGAAAUUCUCUUACAGCAUCACAGGGAAUAAAUUAAAUAAUGCACACAUGCUUUUUAGCAUAGUGUAUGGCAUGUGAAAUGCGAUAAAAGGUGAUUCUCCUUAUAAUUAAAGAAAUAGAAAUUAGUGCCCAUAACACUGUGUAUUUAUAUAAUAAAAUUCUUUCCAAUUGCCCUACAAGAUGAGUGAAGCAAAUCUGUAGAAAGUAUAUUCGUUUCUCAAAUAUUUUAUUUCGCUUCUACGAAAAACUAAAAAAGGCUGGGUGCAGUGGCUCACACCUGUAAUCCCAGCACUUAGGGAGGCCGAGGCAAGCAGAUUGCCUGAGAUCAGGAGUUAGAGACCAGUCUGACCAACAUGGUGAAAUCCCAUCUCUACUAAAAAUACAGAAAAAAUCAGCCGGGUAUGGUGGCGUGCUCCUGUAAUCCCAGCUACUCAGGAGGCUGAGGCAGGGGAAUUGCUUGAACCAGGGAGGUGGAGGUUGCAGUGACCUGAGAUCGUGGCACUGCACUCUGGCCUGGGCGACAGAAUGAAACUCCAUCUCAAAAUAAAAAAAAAAAGAAAAACUAAAAAAUACAUUUGUUUGGCUCACAGAUGUUAAUGAUCUGGGGAAACUUUGAUAUUUAAUGAAAAUUGUUUCCUAGAAUUUGUGCCUGUGGAUUAUUUUUUAAUAUAGCAUAGGUUAGGCAGGACUAGGGUUU